UACAGAGGUCCCGAGCGUUGUUCGGAUUCAUUGGGCGUAAAGGGUGCGUAGGUGGCGCUGUAAGUGGGGUGUGAAAUCCCGGGGCUUAACUCCGGAACUGCAUUCCAUACUGCGGUGCUUGAGGACUGGAGAGGAGACUGGAAUUUACGGUGUAGCAGUGAAAUGCGUAGAGAUCGUGAGGAACACCAGAGGCGAAGGCGGUUACCUGGACAGUUACUGACGCUCAGGCACGAAAGCAUGGGGAGCAAAAGGG
RNAcentral lists this ribosomal RNA (253 nucleotides) under uncultured bacterium. RNAcentral describes it as "partial 16S ribosomal RNA". It matches the Rfam family "Bacterial small subunit ribosomal RNA", at positions 524 to 776 of the family's 1533-position model. The record is from RNAcentral.